GCCAGGAUGGCAUAGUGGUUUAAGUGUUGGACUAUGACUCUGAAGACCAGGGUUUGAUUCCCAACUUGGCC
Molecule: transfer RNA, 71 nt
Filed under: Phrynosoma platyrhinos (Desert horned lizard)
Lineage: Eukaryota; Metazoa; Chordata; Lepidosauria; Squamata; Phrynosomatidae
Description: tRNA-OTHER
Source: RNAcentral